This 485-nucleotide ribosomal RNA is filed under the name uncultured bacterium. RNAcentral describes it as "bacterial SSU rRNA". It matches the Rfam family "Bacterial small subunit ribosomal RNA", at positions 26 to 507 of the family's 1533-position model. The record is from RNAcentral.
GUGGCUACGAGGACGAACGCUGGCGGCGUGCCUAACACGAUGCAAGUCGAGCGGGGUCCAUCCGGUAGCAAGUACUGGGGAAGACCUAGCGGCGAACGGGUGAGUAACACGUGAGAAACCUGCCCCGAAGUCUGGGGAUAACCCGAGGAAACUCGAGCUAAUACCGGAUGCCUUCUUCUGAUCGCAUGGUCGGAUGAAGAAAGAUUUAUCGCUUCGGGAGGGUCUCGCGGCCUAUCAGCUAGUUGGCGGGGUUAACGGCCCACCAAGGCGUCGACGGGUAGCUGGUCCGAGAGGACGAUCAGCCACACUGGGACUGAGACACGGCCCAGACUCCUACGGGAGGCAGCAGUGGGGAAUAUUGCGCAAUGGGCGAAAGCCUGACGCAGCAACGCCGCGUGCGGGAUGAAGGCCUUCGGGUUGUAAACCGCUUUCAGUGGGGACGAAUUCAGACGGUACCCACAGAAGAAGCCCCGGCCAACUACGUG